Molecule: non-coding RNA, 134 nt
Organism: Vagococcus fluvialis bH819
Lineage: Bacteria; Bacillati; Bacillota; Bacilli; Lactobacillales; Enterococcaceae
Source: Rfam
UAAGCUUUUUAAUCAAGUCCAGAGAGACUAGGAAAAGCGAAGCAGAUAGCUAUAUAGGGAUAAAUCUAUUCUUUUAUUGUCGAUGUCUGUUUUCGUACGCCUCGUUUCUAAUUUAGAUACGAGGCUUUUUUUAU